This 1287-nucleotide unclassified non-coding RNA is filed under the name Hevea brasiliensis (rubber tree). The record is from RNAcentral. Lineage: Eukaryota; Viridiplantae; Streptophyta; Magnoliopsida; Malpighiales; Euphorbiaceae.
AGUUCUAGCCACAAUGAGGCAAGGCCUAGUUCGGACUCUAGACCAGUGGAAUUGUUGUAAAUUUUGUAGAUUGGCCAGAGAGGAUCACGUAAGCGCUCCUGCGAUACUUCCACUGACUGGUAUGCUCUACCUGAUCCCAAGGCUUCAAAUUUUGGAGCUACACCUCCAUUGUAAAGAUAUAUGUAGAACGAAAUUUGAUUGUUUCAAGUGACAGCAAUAUUACAAUUUUUUUCUUCUUGAUACGAUGUUUUCUUUUACAUGUCCUAUAAUCCUGUAUCUGGAUUUGAUGGUUUGAUGACUAACAAAAUGUAAAUAGCUAAUAAGCUAGAAUCUGGCUAAAAUAUACCCUAAUGCCUGGCAAAAAUAUACCCUAAAAUCUCAAUUCCAAUUUGGACAAUGAUUUUCCUUUGCUUUGUCUUCCUGGAAAACCUUCACCAAUUGGGAUUAUGAUUUUGCUUUCCUUUUUCAAUCUGGAAAGCCUUUUCUAAAAACGGUCUCUGAUGCCAGCUUAUAUAUACCUCAAACAGAAGCAUCUGUGUAUUCAUUGUGAUCGUGAUUUUAGUUACUACUGAAGUGCUCCUCUUCAUCCAAUGGAACUGCUGCUAUGCUCUAAGAGUCUCAGUGGCAAGCGCAGUAGCCACUGCAAUCUUUCUCUCAACCCCAAGCGCCACCGCAAAAGUCCCAUGGCCUUGGUUUCUUCUACCAUCAACGAUAUUCCUGACUAUCUACUGAUUGAAAUCCUCCUACUUACCUUGAAAUCCGCCAAGCAAUGCUUGCUUGUUUCCAAGCGCUGGUUCGCUCAUCCCUUCCUUCAACGCAAUUAUACAUCUACGCUCUUCCUUUACUAUGAAACCAGCCAAAUCAACAAACUCUUUGUGACCUCCAACAAAUCCUACGGCUUCUCUUUUUGUCACUUGCCUUCCUCCUCCACCCCCAACCGCCUAGACCUAGAGCCAGCCGCCGUGGUUCCUGUGAGGAUUUACUAUUAUGUUGUCGCAAGCUUUUCUCUGAACAUGUAUUACAUCUGCAAUCCAUUUACUGGAACAUGGAUCGAACUGCAUCCUUGUUCUUCUCCUCAUGAUGAAAAUACACGUGUUGGGUUUAUAUGCAGAGGCCGCGGUAUUAAGUUUAGCUACGCUGUGUUUCGAUUUUCGUACUUUGGCGACAGUAUUAUCUCCAAUGAACUUGCAGUUGAGACUUUCUCCUCUGAUAUUGAUAUGUGGCCUAAGAAGAUGGUGUCCUCUGCGCUGGUAAUCUUUGGAUCGCCCAUACUCAAUUUUGGUGGGU